GACGAACGCUGGCGGCGUGCUUAACACAUGCAAGUCGAACGGAAAGGCCCUGCUUUUGUGGGGUGCUCGAGUGGCGAACGGGUGAGUAACACGUGAGUAACCUGCCCUUGACUUUGGGAUAACUUCAGGAAACUGGGGCUAAUACCGGAUAGGAGCUCCUGCUGCAUGGUGGGGGUUGGAAAGUUUCGGCGGUUGGGGAUGGACGCGCGGGUUAUCAGCUUGUUGGUGGGGUAGUGGCUUACCAAGGGUUUGACGGGUAGCCGGCCUGAGAGGGUGACCGGCCACAUGGGGCCUGAGAUACGGCGCAGACUCCUACGGGAGGCAGCAGUGGGGAAUAUUGCACAAUGGGCGGAAGCCUGAUGCAGCAACGCCGCGUGCGGGAUGACGGCCUUCGGGUUGUAAACCGCAUUCGCCUGUGACGAAGCGUGAGUGACGGUAAUGGGUGAAGAAGCACCGGCUAACUACGUG
RNAcentral lists this ribosomal RNA (468 nucleotides) under uncultured bacterium. Its description in RNAcentral is "partial 16S ribosomal RNA". It matches the Rfam family "Bacterial small subunit ribosomal RNA", at positions 28 to 507 of the family's 1533-position model. The record is from RNAcentral.